Molecule: ribosomal RNA, 368 nt
Filed under: uncultured organism
Description: bacterial SSU rRNA
Rfam family: Bacterial small subunit ribosomal RNA
Source: RNAcentral
CGGAGGGUGCAAGCGUUAUCCGGAUUUACUGGGUUUAAAGGGUGUGUAGGCGGGCCUUUAAGUCAGUGGUGAAAUCUCCGAGCUUAACUUGGAAACUGCCAUUGAUACUAUAGGUCUUGAAUUCUGUUGAGGUGGGCGGAAUAAGUCAUGUAGCGGUGAAAUGCAUAGAUAUGACUUAGAACACCAAUUGCGAAGGCAGCUCGCUAAACAGACAUUGACGCUGAGGCACGAAAGCGUGGGGAUCAAACAGGAUUAGAUACCCUGGUAGUCCACGCCCUAAACGAUGAUUACUCGACAUACGCGAUACACAGUGUGUGUCUGAGCGAAAGCAUUAAGUAAUCCACCUGGGAAGUACGACCGCAAGGUUG